This 449-nucleotide ribosomal RNA is filed under the name uncultured bacterium. Its description in RNAcentral is "partial 16S ribosomal RNA". It matches the Rfam family "Bacterial small subunit ribosomal RNA", at positions 29 to 523 of the family's 1533-position model. The record is from RNAcentral.
AACGAACGCUGGCGGCAUGCCUAACACAUGCAAGUCGAACGAGAUCUUCGGGUCUAGUGGCGCACGGGUGCGUAACGCGUGGGAAUCUGCCCUUUGGUUUGGAAUAACAGUUGGAAACGACUGCUAAUACCGGAUGAUGACGAAAGUCCAAAGAUUUAUGGCCAGAGGAUGAGCCCGCGUAGGAUUAGCUAGUUGGUGUGGUAAAGGCGCACCAAGGCGACGAUCCUUAGCUGGUAUGAGAGGAUGAUCAGCCACACUGGGACUGAGACACGGCCCAGACUCCUACGGGAGGCAGCAGUGGGGAAUAUUGGACAAUGGGCGAAAGCCUGAUCCAGCAAUGCCGCGUGAGUGAUGAAGGCCUUAGGGAUGUAAAGCUCUUUUACCCGGGAUGAUAAUGACAGUACCGGGAGAAUAAGCUCCGGCUAACUCCGUGCCAGCCGCCGCAGUAA